RNAcentral lists this ribosomal RNA (429 nucleotides) under Triticum aestivum (bread wheat). RNAcentral describes it as "partial small subunit ribosomal RNA". The record is from RNAcentral. Lineage: Eukaryota; Viridiplantae; Streptophyta; Magnoliopsida; Poales; Poaceae.
AUGAGUCCGCCUACAUCGACAUCAUCAAGUCCAAGGAGACCACCUACAAGCGAGGGAGACCCUUCCAUCUUCGGAAGCUCCUCAACGAAGACGACCGAGCAUGGGAAAUUCCCUUUGGUCAUGGAGACGAGCUACGAGGUGCCACAUCAUAUGGGCCUCCUACAACAAGAUGACGACAAGACGAUCGAGCAAGGGUCAUCCCCUUUGACCACGGCGGCGAGUACGAACCUCUUCAACAACAUGAAGACGACACCCCAAUGGGACUCAUACUCCGAGUCAAGCUAUGAGACCGCGUAUGAGACAUUCUCUUUGGUCUUGGAGGAGAGUGAUGGUUUGCCACUUCCUACGGCAUUCAUCUUUGGAGGCGUUAUGGAUGAGGAGGUUGAGCAUGGGACUACCCUUUCAACCAAGGAGGCUAUAGGAGUUUAG